Molecule: long non-coding RNA, 200 nt
Filed under: Elaeis guineensis (African oil palm)
Lineage: Eukaryota; Viridiplantae; Streptophyta; Magnoliopsida; Arecales; Arecaceae
Description: long non-coding RNA (EGUI_LNC015379)
Source: RNAcentral
ACUUGAGAAAGAUGACCUCUUCCUAUAUAAGAUAGAUUCCUCUUUGACUCCCACCAAUAUGAGACUAAUGAUGUCUUUUCUUCUAUAAUACAACAAAAGCUAAUCUAGAUCUUUUAUAUUCUUACUGAUCAACUUCAUUUCAUUCCUAGCUUCCAAUUUCAUAAAUAAAAUAUUCAACAAGGAUACAUGUCAUCUUAUGA